RNAcentral lists this non-coding RNA (91 nucleotides) under Pseudomonas sp. 478. The record is from RNAcentral. Lineage: Bacteria; Pseudomonadati; Pseudomonadota; Gammaproteobacteria; Pseudomonadales; Pseudomonadaceae. RNAcentral also lists the same sequence under 1 other name.
CUUGACGGUGGCUGUGUGCAGGGCGCCCUCGGGCGCGCCGAUAUCCGGGGUUCUCGAUCGGUCGACUAACCUGUGCACAGCCGCCACCUUU